UAUACCCUGCUGCGUUCGUGUUGAGGUCAUUAAUUUUGGUCCAACGCCUUUAAACUAGGGAGCCUUUUAUUUGUGCCAAGUGCACGCCCCGCAAGGGGAAGCCGGAAGCACAGAUGUUGGCACCCACCUGUUGACAGGGCCCAAAAUCCGGCUUCUCACGGCGAUUGGCGGGGUUAAU
This 178-nucleotide non-coding RNA is filed under the name Candidatus Goldiibacteriota bacterium HGW-Goldbacteria-1. RNAcentral describes it as "Candidatus Goldbacteria bacterium HGW-Goldbacteria-1 6S RNA". It matches the Rfam family "6S / SsrS RNA". Rfam says of the family: E. coli 6S RNA was the first non coding RNA to be sequenced, but its function was unknown until recently. Lineage: Bacteria; Candidatus Goldiibacteriota. The record is from RNAcentral.